CACCGCGGUUAUACGAGAGGCCCAAAUUGAAAGACACCGGCGUAAAGCGUGGUUAAAUUAAAAUUAAACUAAAAUUAAAUAUCUUUAGGACUGUUAUACGUAUCCAAAGACAAGAACUUCAAUCACGAAAGUAACUUUAUAUAAACUGAAUCCACAAAAGCUAUAACC
Molecule: ribosomal RNA, 168 nt
Filed under: Lopholiparis flerxi
Lineage: Eukaryota; Metazoa; Chordata; Actinopteri; Perciformes; Liparidae
Description: partial 12S rRNA
Source: RNAcentral